GCGGGUCCCGGAAGGCUAGGUCGAAUUCCGCGGCGAAUUCCAAGCGCUCAAGGUAGGGAAGGGCUUGCAGCGCCUUUGGAGUCGGCCGCCACUGCUCUACGGCAGAAGGACGAGAUUGCCACCUGCAGGCUGGGGAGCAGGGCACGCCUGGGCGGGUCUUCUGAAUCCUCCGCCGACAACCUAGGGCCCGGCGGAGUGAGUUUCCACUUCUGCAAUAAAGGCAAACCGGGGACGGCGCGGCUCGGACCAAUCCCCUUCCCUGCGCGCCCCGGCUGUGUGGUACACUGGAACGCGCUUGGACAGAAGGAAAAGUGCCGUGGGCAAGCGUGACAUCGCUUUGGGGGCUUCGCGCAGCUGGAAUGCAAAGGGUUGAACAGUUGCACAAGCAGGCAUGGUACAGUAAAUUUCCGCCACCGCCGAUGACUAAGUCUUUAGAGCUUCGAAAGGAUUUAGAGCAACCUUCAAGAUACAUACAGUAUAGCACGACAAAGGACAUUGAAUAUAGGUGAGGAAAAGAUAGAAUAAAUACAGGAAAUUGUACAGAACCAAGCUCACAGGAAACAUCCUGACCAGGUGGACCUGUGGAUGACUGCAGGGAGGAAGAAAUUAACACAUCUUCUAUGGAGGCUGACUGGAACCAGGAAAUGUUUGACUUCACUCCCUCCCCUUUUAGUAUAAAAGAAGCCUGAAUUCUAACUCAGGCAAGAUGGUUCUUUGGGGGCACGAGUUCACCAUCUUCUUGGUUUGCUGGGUUUCUGAAUAAACUCGCUUGCCCCAACA
Long non-coding RNA from Orcinus orca (killer whale), 780 nucleotides. RefSeq lists it as uncharacterized. The record is from RefSeq and is a predicted model, not a curated record. NCBI's taxonomy places the organism in Eukaryota, Metazoa, Chordata, Mammalia, Artiodactyla, Delphinidae. The transcript has 3 exons.